This is a long non-coding RNA of Physeter macrocephalus (sperm whale), 414 nucleotides long. RefSeq lists it as uncharacterized. The record is from RefSeq and is a predicted model, not a curated record. NCBI's taxonomy places the organism in Eukaryota, Metazoa, Chordata, Mammalia, Artiodactyla, Physeteridae. The transcript is spliced from 3 exons.
GGGAACAAAGAAAGAUGAGAUUGAAGGUGAAGUGGAAGUGUCUGGUUUAAUUCAGCCUGCAGAAGUGUUUGCUCCCAAAAGCCUGGUGUUGGUAUCCAGAUUAGAUUAUCCAGAAAUUUUUAGGGCUUGCCUGGGUUUGAUCUAUACUGUAUAUGUGGACAGUCUGAAUGUCUCCUUGGAAAGUCUUAUUGCAAACCUGUGUGCGUGUCUUGUCCCAGCGGCUGGAGGGUCUCAGAAGCUGUUUUCCUUGGGUGCAGGAGAUAGACAGCUGAUCCAGACUCCCCUGCAUGAUAGUCUUCCUGUCACAGGCACUAGUGCGGCUCUCCUGUUCCAGCAAUUGGGUAUGUCUUCUUCUCCCAUUUUCAGUGUUCUUAUAAAAGCCUAUGAAAAAAAGAUUUAUUUUAAGCCUACAUC